CUUGCUCUGUGGGAUCAGUGGCGAACGGGUGAGUAACACGUGAGCAACCUGCCCCUGACUCUGGGAUAAGCGCUGGAAACGGCGUCUAAUACUGGAUAUGUGACGUGACCGCAUGGUCUGCGUCUGGAAAGAAUUUCGGUUGGGGAUGGGCUCGCGGCCUAUCAGCUUGUUGGUGAGGUAAUGGCUCACCAAGGCGUCGACGGGUAGCCGGCCUGAGAGGGUGACCGGCCACACUGGGACUGAGACACGGCCCAGACUCCUACGGGAGGCAGCAGUGGGGAAUAUUGCACAAUGGGCGCAAGCCUGAUGCAGCAACGCCGCGUGAGGGACGACGGCCUUCGGGUUGUAAACCUCUUUUAGCAGGGAAGAAGCGAAAGUGACGGUACCUGCAGAAAAAGCGCCGGCUAACUACGUGCCAGCAGCCGCGGUAAUACGUAGGGCGCAAGCGUUAUCCGGAAUUAUUGGGCGUAAAGAGCUCGUAGGCGGUUUGUCGCGUCUGCUGUGAAAUCCGGAGGCUCAACCUCCGGCCUGCAGUGGGUACGGGCAGACUAGAGUGCGGUAGGGGAGAUUGGAAUUCCUGGUGUAGCGGUGGAAUGCGCAGAUAUCAGGAGGAACACCGAUGGCGAAGGCAGAUCUCUGGGCCGUAACUGACGCUGAGGAGCGAAAGGGUGGGGAGCAAACAGGCUUAGAUACCCUGGUAGUCCACCCCGUAAACGUUGGGAACUAGUUGUGGGGUCCAUUCCACGGAUUCCGUGACGCAGCUAACGCAUUAAGUUCCCCGCCUGGGGAGUACGGCCGCAAGGCUAAAACUCAAAGGAAUUGACGGGGACCCGCACAAGCGGCGGAGCAUGCGGAUUAAUUCGAUGCAACGCGAAGAACCUUACCAAGGCUUGACAUAUACGAGAACGGGCCAGAAAUGGUCAACUCUUUGGACACUCGUAAACAGGUGGUGCAUGGUUGUCGUCAGCUCGUGUCGUGAGAUGUUGGGUUAAGUCCCGCAACGAGCGCAACCCUCGUUCUAUGUUGCCAGCACGUAAUGGUGGGAACUCAUGGGAUACUGCCGGGGUCAACUCGGAGGAAGGUGGGGAUGACGUCAAAUCAUCAUGCCCCUUAUGUCUUGGGCUUCACGCAUGCUACAAUGGCCGGUACAAAGGGCUGCAAUACCGCGAGGUGGAGCGAAUCCCAAAAAGCCGGUCCCAGUUCGGAUUGAGGUCUGCAACUCGACCUCAUGAAGUCGGAGUCGCUAGUAAUCGCAGAUCAGCAACGCUGCGGUGAAUACGUUCCCGGGUCUUGUACACACCGCCCGUCAAGUCAUGA
RNAcentral lists this ribosomal RNA (1317 nucleotides) under Microbacterium oxydans. RNAcentral's name for it is "bacterial SSU rRNA". It matches the Rfam family "Bacterial small subunit ribosomal RNA", at positions 79 to 1407 of the family's 1533-position model. The record is from RNAcentral. Lineage: Bacteria; Bacillati; Actinomycetota; Actinomycetes; Micrococcales; Microbacteriaceae.